Molecule: ribosomal RNA, 673 nt
Filed under: Triticum aestivum (bread wheat)
Lineage: Eukaryota; Viridiplantae; Streptophyta; Magnoliopsida; Poales; Poaceae
Description: partial small subunit ribosomal RNA
Source: RNAcentral
GUAGAAACUCCGCGACCCAUCCCGAACCUAACCCACCUCCUUCCGCCGAAGGCAGCCGUCGUGGGCGAGCCAGCGACGGCGUUAGGCGGAGCGAGGGAGCCCGCGGCGCCGUGACUGGCCGCCGACGGAGCCCAGCGAACUGAACCUCCCCGCGGCCCACCACUUGUCCCACCUUCCUUCUUCCGCAGCGAGUGGAUCGGCCGCACCGACCACCGGCCUCACCACCGCGCCGCCGCCCAGUGUGCCGCCGCCCCAGCCAUCGGCCCCCCACCGCGCCGCCGCCUCCCUCCCCGCGCGCAGCUCCACCCGGCCUCAUCCUCCCUGCCCCCGCCUCCUCCCCUUCGCCAGCGCGCCUCCACCUCCCAGCCACCGGCGCGGCUCCACCUCCUCGUCCCGGCCGGCCAGGUGAUGCACGCGCAUCAAUUCGCGCGAGGCCCGUCCACCAGGCACCCUUUCGCCAUCUGGCGCGACGCCAUGGGUAAAGCCAGAGAUGGAGCUACCGGUUCCAGCACCGGCACCUACGACGUCAGUCCACCGACGUGCUUGGCGCCGUCCACAACUCCAUCGCGCUUGAGCUUAUGCUCCAGAUCAUCUUCCUCAAUGUUCCGGCCACGGCUCCCCACUGCCAACACAAGAUCCCAACCACUUCUUCUGUAAAAACUGAAGUUAUCUG